Molecule: ribosomal RNA, 253 nt
Filed under: uncultured bacterium
Lineage: Bacteria
Description: partial 16S ribosomal RNA
Rfam family: Bacterial small subunit ribosomal RNA
Source: RNAcentral
UACGAGGGGGGCAAGCGUUGUUCGGAAUUAUUGGGCGUAAAGAGCUCGUAGGCGGUCUGUUGCGUCGGCUGUGAAAACCCGGGGCUCAACCCCGGGCCUGCAGCCGAUACGGGCAGACUAGAGUUCGGCAGGGGAGACUGGAAUUCCUGGUGUAGCGGUGAAAUGCGCAGAUAUCAGGAGGAACACCGGUGGCGAAGGCGGGUCUCUGGGCAGUAACUGACGCUGAGGAGCGAAAGCGUGGGGAGCGAACAGG